RNAcentral lists this small RNA (111 nucleotides) under unclassified sequences. RNAcentral's name for it is "COG3943 RNA". It matches the Rfam family "COG3943 RNA". Rfam says of the family: cow rumen. Environment (Cow rumen (57)) The record is from Rfam by way of RNAcentral.
UUCGCUCCACACAGAUAAAUUAAUCUGAGCAUGUGGCCAUCCAAAGAGUGGAUGUAACACCAGUAGUUAAGUUGCUUGGGAUAUAGCAAAUGUUAACUACAUUCAUGGUGU